CUCUCCUCACUAGUCAACACAUUUCCAUCUCCAUCCUUUAUUGCUCUAACUUAGCUUUUGCUACAUCCCUUUUACCUGCUGCCACAUCUCAUUGUUCUCCUGACUACUUGUCUUAUCUCUCUGCCCACUCAUCCAGCACCUCUUCACCACCACGGAGCCCCUGUCUGACCUCUUCCCUAAACCUCACACUACAGUCUUCCUAUUUUAGUUUACACUAUCUUGUUCUUUUUUUCAGUCCUCACUCUCCUCCUUUUCUUCUUCACCUCAAAAGCCAUCCUACAAACCAUCAUCCGAUACUGUCUAGCUAUGCUCUCUCUGUAGACGUCUUCCUCUCCUCCUUCUCAUCCUUUGGCCAACAAUAGCCCAAUUUCCACCAAUACCCUGUUGGCUGACAAUACCUGUGGCAGUAGUUGGUAACCUGGCAAAUCCGGUAUGCAAUUCUGAUUCGUGAUCCACAUAUUUGAUAACGCAACCCUCCCCAUUUAUCCGGGCUUGGGACUGGCACUAAGAAUGCACUGGCUUGUGCAACCAUAAUGGCUGGGUUGGAAUUUACUCAUAUACUGCAUAUAUUAAUACAUUGAUUUUAGUUAUAGAUAGUGUAAAAGCAAAAAAAGUACUAUACAUAAUGUAAACAUUUCUCCCUAUUAUAUUUUCAAAUAGGCUUUUACAUAGAUUGUUGCUGCACAGACUAAAGGAGGCUUAAAUGUGAGCACAACAUAAUAUUCUCUGAGAUAAUUAAAGGUAUAAAAUAUGCCUUUCGUCAUUUAAAAUGUAAUUUAAUAUUUUUUUUAGUUGUCAUUGCAUUAUUCAUUUUUAGCUCAUUGUAUGUUCACCCCUAUGCGGUAACGAUGUUAAAUAAGUUUUGACCUCUGUGGGUUUUCACAGGAAGGAAGUGUUCCGUUGAUGGGCGUGGUUUAAAUAUUAGCAUGCUAAUGUUAUCAUUAGCCAAAUAAUUUCCCAAAAAAUGCCCAAUUUUUUACCUAUUUUAUUUGUGGGGCAAAGUUUUGUUCCAUGUUUGAAUUAAAAUAAUAAAUGUUUAUUUAAAUAGUUAGCCACUCUUUGGUUAAAGAUCCAUCCGUGCGCCUUUAUGUCUGAAGUUUUUUUUCAGUUUAUUUAUUUGUUUGUAGCUCUUAAUUCACCUUGUGCAGAAUGAAAUUUCCCAUGAUGCAGUGCUCUGAAUGCUCUGUCAUUCACCAUGAUGGUAAAGUGUGUGUGUGAUGGUGACGGCGCUCCACAGUCCGUUUCAACUCAUACUUACCUGGCAGGGGAGAUACCAUGAUCAAGAAGGUGGUUCACCCAGAGCAAGGCUCAACCAUUGCACUCUGGUUGUGCUGACCCCUGCGAAUUCCCCAAACGUGGAAAUCUCGACUGCAUAAUUUAUGAUAGUGGGGGACUGCGUUCGCGCUCUCCCCUGAUUUCACUGGUGAAGAAUAGAUAUAAGUUUCUCGUUUGAUUAGUAUAUAAUUU
Molecule: long non-coding RNA, 1467 nt
Organism: Silurus meridionalis
Lineage: Eukaryota; Metazoa; Chordata; Actinopteri; Siluriformes; Siluridae
Exons: 2
Source: RefSeq, a predicted model, not a curated record